This 484-nucleotide ribosomal RNA is filed under the name uncultured bacterium. RNAcentral's name for it is "partial 16S ribosomal RNA". It matches the Rfam family "Bacterial small subunit ribosomal RNA", at positions 30 to 507 of the family's 1533-position model. The record is from RNAcentral.
AUUGAACGCUGGCGGCAGGCCUAACACAUGCAAGUCGAGCGGAUGAAGGGAGCUUGCUCCUGGAUUCAGCGGCGGACGGGUGAGUAAUGCCUAGGAAUCUGCCUGGUAGUGGGGGAUAACGUCCGGAAACGGGCGCUAAUACCGCAUACGACCUGAGGGAGAAAGUGGGGGAUCUUCGGACCGCACGCUAUCAGAUGAGCCUAGGUCGGAUUAGCUAGUUGGUGGGGUAAAGGCGUACCAAGGCGACGAUCCGUAACUGGUCUGAGAGGAUGAUCAGUCAAACUGGAACUGAGACCCGGUCCAGACUCCUACGGGAGGCAGCAGUGGGGAAUAGUGGACAAUGGGCGAAAGCCUGAUCCAGCCAGGCCGCGUGUGUGAAGAAGGUCCUCGGAUUGUAAAGCACUUUAAGUUGGGAGGAAGGGCAGUCAGUUAAUACCUUGCUGUUUUGACGUUACCAACAGAAUAAGCCCCGGCUAACUUCGUG